GCAUGAUAGCACCAUUAAAGAUUUAUUGGUAAACGAUGGGGAUGCGUUCCAUUAGGUAGUAGGCGGGGUAACGGCCCACCUAGCCGACGAUGGAUAGGGGUUCUGAGAGGAAGGUCCCCCACAUUGGAACUGAGACACGGUCCAAACUCCUACGGGAGGCAGCAGUGAGGAAUAUUGGUCAAUGGGCGAGAGCCUGAACCAGCCAAGUAGCGUGAAGGAUGAAGGUCCUACGGAUUGUAAACUUCUUUUAUACGGGAAUAAAGUGAGCCACGUGUGGCUUUUUGUAUGUACCGUAUGAAUAAGGAUCGGCUAACUCCGUGCCAGCAGCCGCGGUAAUACGGAGGAUCCGAGCGUUAUCCGGAUUUAUUGGGUUUAAAGGGAGCGUAGGCGGGUUGUUAAGUCAGUUGUGAAAGUUUGCGGCUCAACCGUAAAAUUGCAGUUGAUACUGGCGACCUUGAGUGCAACAGAGGUAGGCGGAAUUCGUGGUGUAGCGGUGAAAUGCUUAGAUAUCACGAA
This 516-nucleotide ribosomal RNA is filed under the name uncultured bacterium. RNAcentral describes it as "bacterial SSU rRNA". It matches the Rfam family "Bacterial small subunit ribosomal RNA", at positions 188 to 703 of the family's 1533-position model. The record is from RNAcentral.